This 218-nucleotide non-coding RNA is filed under the name Bradyrhizobium erythrophlei. The record is from RNAcentral. Lineage: Bacteria; Pseudomonadati; Pseudomonadota; Alphaproteobacteria; Hyphomicrobiales; Nitrobacteraceae.
CAAGUCCAUCACGAUGAAGGAGUAGCGAACCGCCCCGAGUCAUGCGCCAGUACCUGUGAGGGUAUUGGCGAAGCGUUGACAGGGGAGCGCACAGGCCAGCCAUUGAGCCGCGAAAGUACCCUCAUUCUGGGUGCCGACGUCGUUCCGGUGACGGAAGGCAACACGGAUGAAGGAGGCGACGCGCAUCAUUAAGAAUGCCCGCUUCGACGCGACGAGCA